Molecule: long non-coding RNA, 656 nt
Organism: Myripristis murdjan (pinecone soldierfish)
Lineage: Eukaryota; Metazoa; Chordata; Actinopteri; Holocentriformes; Holocentridae
Exons: 3
Source: RefSeq, a predicted model, not a curated record
GCAGCUGAUUACUGACAGGUGACUCUGCUUCUGCUUAGCUAGCUAGCUAACAACUGACAACAAGCGAACUGAAACUAUCUGUAUUGUGAACAAUGGGUAUGUUUCCAAAUCUAACUUUUGGUUUUAAUGGCAGAGAAAGACAGUUUUCCAUAUUCACAGACGUAACCCUGACCACAACCAGCUGAAACAAGAAGUUUUCCUCCCACCUUCACCUUACCUUUCUCACCACCAGCGACAUUAGCAGAGCGCAGUGCUGCGCAUAACUACGAUUCUCAUUCACUUCCGAUAAAAGCAUGUUCGACAAUCCACGCCUGUGCCUAGAUCUGAAGUCAACAUCUCCAAGGACUUUCUUUGUGCCUUGAAGUGCUGCAGAUGGUCUGGACUGCUCGCUGCUGCUGGGAGGAGGAUAUCAAACUCAAGUCUGCCAAUGCCAUCUAGUGGAUGGGAGAAAAAUUUAUGCUGCCUCCUCUCCCAUUGCACACCAUUUAACACAGACUGUGGCUCUUUGAUAAGACACAGUAUUAUAAUGUUAAUAGGUGCUACAAAAUUUAGGCUAAUUUAUGGAGUGGGAUGGAAAAACCCCGGUCACAAUAUUAUUUGUUUUUUCAGUGUUGAAUUCACAAUAUCAUGUUGUUCUGAAAUAAAACUAAAAUAAA